GAUGAACGCUGGCGGCGUGCCUAAUACAUGCAAGUCGAGCGAACAGACGAGGAGCUUGCUCCUCUGACGUUAGCGGCUGACGGGUGAGUAACACGUGGAUAACCUACCUAUAAGACUGGGAUAACUUCGGGAAACCGGAGCUAAUACCGGAUAAUAUCUUGAACCGCAUGGUUCAAUAGUGAAAGACGGUUUUGCUGUCACUUAUAGAUGGUUCCGCGCUGCAUUAGCUAGUUGGUAAGGUAACGGCUUACCAAGGCAACGAUGCGUAGCCGACCUGAGAGGGGGAACGGCCACACUGGAAGUGGGACAAGGGCCAGACUCCUAAGGGAGGCAGCAGUAGGGAAUCUUCCGCAAUGGGCGAAAGCCUGACGGAGCAAGGCCGCGUGAGUGAUAAAGGUCUUCGGAGCGUAAAACUCUGUUAUUAGGGAAAAACAAAUGUGUAAGUAAAUAUGCACGGCUUGACGGUAACUAAUCAGAAAGCCACGGCUAACUACGUG
Molecule: ribosomal RNA, 497 nt
Filed under: uncultured bacterium
Lineage: Bacteria
Description: partial 16S ribosomal RNA
Rfam family: Bacterial small subunit ribosomal RNA
Source: RNAcentral